CCUACGGGGUGCAGCAGUGAGGAAUAUUGGUCAAUGGACGAGAGUCUGAACCAGCCAAGUAGCGUGAAGGAUGACUGCCCUAUGGGUUGUAAACUUCUUUUAUAUGGGAAUAAAAUGUUCCACGUGUGGGAUUUUGUAUGUACCAUAUGAAUAAGGAUCGGCUAACUCCGUGCCAGCAGCCGCGGUAAUACGGAGGAUCCGAGCGUUAUCCGGAGUUAUUGGGUUUAAAGGGAGCGUAGGUGGAUUGUUAAGUCAGUUGUGAAAGUUUGCGGCUCAACCGUAAAAUUGCAGUUGAAACUGGCAGUCUUGAGUACAGUAGAGGUGGGCGGAAUUCGUGGUGUAGCGGUGAAAUGCUUAGAUAUCACGAAGAACUCCGAUUGCGAAGGCAGUUCACUGGACUGCAACUGACACUGAGGCUCGAAAGUGUGGGUAUCAAACAGGAUUAGAUACCCUUGUAGUC
Molecule: ribosomal RNA, 460 nt
Filed under: uncultured bacterium
Lineage: Bacteria
Description: partial 16S ribosomal RNA
Rfam family: Bacterial small subunit ribosomal RNA
Source: RNAcentral